UAGGGUCAGCUAAAUAAGCUAUCGGGCCCAUACCCCGAAAACGUUGGUCAAACCCCUCCCCUACUAAU
RNAcentral lists this transfer RNA (68 nucleotides) under Microlophus tigris. Its description in RNAcentral is "tRNA-Met". Lineage: Eukaryota; Metazoa; Chordata; Lepidosauria; Squamata; Tropiduridae. The record is from RNAcentral.